GACGAACGCUGGCGGCGUGCUUAACACAUGCAAGUCGAACGGUGAAGGGGCCUGCUUUUGUGGGCCCUGGAUGAGUGGCGAACGGGUGAGUAACACGUGAGUAACCUGCCCCCUUCUUCUGGAUAACCGCAUGAAAGUGUGGCUAAUACGGGAUAUUCUGGGUCUGUCGCAUGAUGGGUCUGGGAAAGAUUGCGCCUUUGGGUGUUUUUGGUGGGGGAUGGGCUCGCGGCCUAUCAGCUUGUUGGUGGGGUGAUGGCCUACCAAGGCGGUGACGGGUAGCCGGCCUGAGAGGGUGGACGGUCACACUGGGACGGAGACACGGCCCAGACUCCUACGGGAGGCAGCAGUGGGGAAUAGUGCACAAUGGGCGCAAGCCUGAUGCAGCGACGCCGCGUGAGGGAUGGAGGCCUUCGGGUUGUAAACCUCUUUCGCCAGUGAAGCAGGCCUGCUCCUUGUGGGUGGGUUGACGGUAGCUGGAUAAGAAGCGCCGGCUAACUACGUG
RNAcentral lists this ribosomal RNA (502 nucleotides) under uncultured bacterium. RNAcentral describes it as "partial 16S ribosomal RNA". It matches the Rfam family "Bacterial small subunit ribosomal RNA", at positions 28 to 507 of the family's 1533-position model. The record is from RNAcentral.